This 574-nucleotide unclassified non-coding RNA is filed under the name Hevea brasiliensis (rubber tree). Lineage: Eukaryota; Viridiplantae; Streptophyta; Magnoliopsida; Malpighiales; Euphorbiaceae. The record is from RNAcentral.
GGGGGUGGAACGUGAAGCAAUGAUGCAUUAAUUUACAAAGGGAAGUAAAAACAGAGGCUAGGAAAUACUUCAUUUUCCUGCCCAAUAAGUUCAUACUGUAAAGCUAAAAACAUCACCAUCAUGUACAGAUAUAACAGUUGAGAGGAUUGAUGACCAACUGCUAUGGAUCUGCUUGGCCCGCCAUCUCCUCAUCUUGAGACUCGUAUUCGUCCUCACUUAGCUCCUCAUCGCUAGAUUUGUCCUCUGGGGCAGCCCCUAUGUCUUCUGGCUUGGCAUAUUUCUCACAGUAUUCUUUAACUUUCUGUUCAUAAGCAGACCGGUCACGCAUCAUCAAAGCCGCUGCCUCUCCAUUCAAUGGGUCUGAGGGGUUAGGAUACAAAAGAAGCUGUGGUAGAAAUACCUCAAAUACAUUUACCAGAUCAAACAUGGGACUCCAAGUCUGAUUGAUAACUAAACAAACUGAGCCAGACAUUUCAUCAACAUUUGGGUGAUAGAUCUUAUUAAUAAAGCCUAUCGUGGGGGAUUUGUAUGGAUAAGCAUCUGGCAGCUCAACUCUUAUCCUCCACACACCUCC